ACAGGAGACAAUAAGGGUGCACGGUGGAUGCCUAGGCUUGCGACAGCGAUGAAGGACGCGACUAAUCAGCGAAAUGCUUCGGGGAGACGAUUUGUAGUCUUUGAUCCGGAG
This 111-nucleotide ribosomal RNA is filed under the name Patescibacteria group bacterium. RNAcentral describes it as "partial 23S ribosomal RNA". It matches the Rfam family "Bacterial large subunit ribosomal RNA", at positions 1 to 109 of the family's 2925-position model. The record is from RNAcentral.